GGAACUUGGAGGUUUGCCUUUCUUCUUUUUGUUUUUUUGCUUCACGCAGACUAGCUAACACCCCGCCGCAUCCUGCUUCGUCCCUCACAUCCAUCGCUCACGCACUCGACCUGCUCGGAUUCUUUCCUUUCCUCUCUCUCUUAGGUUAAAUUUGUCUGGUGCUUCUUUUUUGAAUAUGCCCGACCUGUUUCACCUGCCUCUCCCUCUUUGUUCACUCCUCAUGUAUACGUAAGCUUUUGCAGAGCAACAAUCACAGCGACUAAUCUCUCAAGUCGGUUGAUUGCAAUUUGCAAAAUUCAGGUGAUCGUGGUUCCGAGGACUCACAAGUGAUGGCAUGGUUGAUGGCUUGUUUAUAGCUAAUGUUGCUGUUUUUAUGUUAUGAACUUAUGGAGAAUUGCAGAGCCUUAAUUUAUGUGGAAGGACUUUAAAGGCUACUGGCUUAAAAACCAGCUCAUCUCCAAGUGGUCAUGAAGGUUAUAUCUAGAACCAUGCUCAAUCGCCUCACAUCAAUUUACAAACGAACACUAAUUUUCCCAACACAAAAAAUCCAGUCCUUUUCAACCACCGUUGAGCCCUCAAACCCAACUCCUUCCAUAUUUCCCCAGCCAUCUCCCUACAGGAAACAGAUUUCCCUUGCCAAUCUUCUCCAAAGAUAUGGCUUCCCAGCAUCUCAACUCCACAAUUUCCUAAACAAAAACAAAUUUUUAGAGAAAUCCAACUUGCACGAGCUUGAUCAGUCUUUGCGUAUUCUAACAAAACUGAAAAUUCCUCAGAAGUCUUUGGUUUCAUUGAUUUCUGACUGUCCUGGAGUCUUGGAGUUUGAGUUUCUCAAGAAAUGGGAAAUAGAUUUCCUAGGAUUGGACUUCUUGAGUGCUUCCCCAUUGAUCAUUCGCAAUGUGUUGGAACUUGCUAGGAGAUUCCAGUUAGACCCAGAUGGGUUUGCUAGGAGUGUGAAGAUUUUGAGGAGUCUAGGUUUCUGUGAUGAUACUGUGCGGAGGGUUUUAGAAGGUUUUCCUAGAAUAAUUAUAAUGAAUGAGAGGGAAACUCAAGAUCGAAUUUUAUUUUUGGUGGGACUUGGGUUUUCAAGGCCUGAAAUUGAUCGCCUUUUUUGUUUGUAUCCAAGUGUAUUAAGAUUUGGGAUUGAAGAUAGGUUGAAGCCUUUGCUUUUUGAGUUUGGAGAUUUGGGGUUUAGUGAGAAUUUGGUUAGGAAAGAGAUCGUUAGGGAACCGAGGAUUCUCAGUAUGGAAUUGGGGGAACUUUCAAGGUAUUUGGAGCUGCUGAAGACUUUAAAAUGUCGGGAACCAAUUGAGCAGAAGAUUUUUACUGAAGGAGCACUUAGAGCUGGGUUUGAUGUGAAACUGAGAAGUGACUGCUUAUGCAAACAUGGGUUGACUCGUAGAGAAGCUUUUAAAGUGUUGUGGAAAGAGCCAAGGGUGAUUUUAUAUGGGAUAGAGGAUAUUGAGAAGAAGAUUGAGUUUUUGGUGAACAGGAUGAAAUUCAACAUUGGUUGCUUGGUUGAUGUUCCCAAUUAUUUGGGUGUAAACUUUGAAAAACAGAUUGUUCCUCGAUACAAUGUGAUCAAGUAUUUGAGAGCAAACGGUGGGCUUCGUUUUGAGGUGGGAUUGAGAGAUUUGAUAAAGCCAAGUAGGCUUAGAUUUUACAAUCUCUAUGUCAGGCCAUAUCCAGAGUGUGAGAAAAUGUAUGGCAGAUUUUCAGGUGAUGUGGAAGUUAAAAGCCGACAUCCAGUUGGUCUGUGGAAGCUCUUUAAACCACAGAGGCAUUCAGAAUCCAAAGAGGAGGUGAAAAAUAUGAAGUGCUUCAUGGAGUCGUUGGUUUAGAGAGAGAGAGAGAGAGAGAGAGAGAGAGAGAGAAUCAUUUGUUGUUAUCUAAACGAAAGAGUUUUUAAGCUGUAAAACAAUUGUUGGUGCCAUGCUUUUGGUUGUCUGGUGCCUGACGGUAAAGGAAACUUGCAUUUGUGAGAUUAUAUUUUGCAAAAGAGAGAAAUUUACAGGCUUGGAUUUUCAUAGUUUCAUUUUUGGACACCUGCAAAUCUUUUCUUAGAGUAUGAAGGCUACAGCCACCUGAUUGUUGGGAGUGACUGCUGAGAGGAAAAUUGACGAUAUUAAUGCCUAUGUAUGCUGGUUAAAUGAAAUGGCUGUAACAUCUUUGGAAGAAUAAGGCACUCCAUGAAGUAGGCCUUGUGAAUGUUUCUGAUAUAAGAAUGCGAGAUGAAUGCUCCAUGUUAUUCUGAAGCACUUUCUACUGAUCUGUCCUCUACUUUCUUGGUGCAAAGGAGGCUGCUAAUCAGCAUAAAAAUUGAUUCAUGUAUCAACAAUCACGUUUGAUAUAUUCCAACCAUUAUUUGGGUUUGUGUCCAUUUACACCUUGUUUUCGACAUCAAGAGGAGGCCAAGAUCCGUGUCAGAGUCCCAAAAUUAACAAAGGUAAAUCGAUGAAGCGUUUCUUGUGAGAAAAAAUGGAAAAUUAGUCCUUGUAGAUUUUCUACUUCAGAAAAUUAAGGUGGCUUAAGAUGCAUUGCGGCUGGGUUUUUAUUUUUGCUACCAUUUGGACUGGAAAGCAAUCGAUUGUGGGAAAUUAGUUCUGGGUUCUUUAGUUCGAAUCUUGUGCCGAAUUUGAUUGGAAUUUGUUAUGAGUAGUACUACAUGUAUUUAUACUUUUACUUAUAAUUUUACAUAUAAGAUUCAUUUUGUUA
Carya illinoinensis is the source of this 2712-nucleotide RNA transcript. It is a transcript of the gene named transcription termination factor MTERF15, mitochondrial, with no coding region annotated. The record is from RefSeq and is a predicted model, not a curated record. NCBI's taxonomy places the organism in Eukaryota, Viridiplantae, Streptophyta, Magnoliopsida, Fagales, Juglandaceae. The transcript has 3 exons.